GCCGGAGUGGCGAAACUGGCAGACGCGCAGGAUUUAGGAUCCUGUGGGGCAACCCUUGGAGGUUCGACUCCUCUCUCCGGCA
RNAcentral lists this transfer RNA (82 nucleotides) under Candidatus Shapirobacteria bacterium. RNAcentral's name for it is "tRNA-Leu". It matches the Rfam family "tRNA". From Rfam's summary of the family: Transfer RNA (tRNA) molecules are approximately 80 nucleotides in length. Lineage: Bacteria; Candidatus Shapironibacteriota. The record is from RNAcentral.